Molecule: ribosomal RNA, 482 nt
Filed under: uncultured bacterium
Lineage: Bacteria
Description: partial 16S ribosomal RNA
Rfam family: Bacterial small subunit ribosomal RNA
Source: RNAcentral
GACGAACGCUGGCGGCGUGCCUAACACAUGCAAGUCGAACGGAACUGUCUUGAAAGAUUUCUUCGGAAUGAAUUUGAUUUAGUUUAGUGGCGGACGGGUGAGUAACGCGUGAGUAACCUGCCUUCAAGAGGGGAAUAACAUUCUGAAAAGAAUGCUAAUACCGCAUGACAUAUCGGAACCACAUGGUUUUGAUAUCAAAGAUUUUAUCGCUUGAAGAUGGACUCGCGUCCGAUUAGUUAGUUGGUGAGGUAACGGCUCACCAAGACCGCGAUCGGUAGCCGGACUGAGAGGUUGAACGGCCACAUUGGGACUGAGACACGGCCCAGACUCCUACGGGAGGCAGCAGUGGGGGAUAUUGCGCAAUGGGGGCAACCCUGACGCAGCAACGCCGCGUGAAGGAUGAAGGUUUUCGGAUUGUAAACUUCUUUUAUUAAGGACGAAAAAUGACGGUACUUAAUGAAUAAGCUCCGGCUAACUACGUG